Molecule: long non-coding RNA, 1425 nt
Filed under: Struthio camelus australis
Lineage: Eukaryota; Metazoa; Chordata; Aves; Struthioniformes; Struthionidae
Description: lncRNA (ENSSCUG00000011222.1)
Source: RNAcentral
UUUUUUUCUGGAUUAGAAAGUAAAAACACUGAUAAAAUCUGGUGCUUGGAGUCAGAGAUAAGUCCAUAUCGAAAUAUAUUAUACUCUGUCUGUAAAGGCUUAUUUGUAAUAAGAACAUAGCCUUUUCUGCCUUAAUCACUUAGAUUAUAAACUCUUGGGAACUAUUUCACACUAUGUAGCUCUUAGCACAGCUUCAGGCUGAGUGGUCACGAGGCACUUCUGCAAAGUAGAUGCAAUUAAUCAUAAUAAUGUUGUCAUACGCAAACUUUUUCCAUACAGCAAUCUCAGCUUAGUUUGAGAUUCCAGAAACACCAUUUCGUUUGGCACCUCUUCUGGACGCAACGUGCCACAGGAGCCUUGUCCUGCUCAGGGUGCUGGCAGGAGCAGUCUCACAGAACUACAAGACCUUUUGGGCUAGCGUAUUUAAGGAAGCAGGUUUUGGAUGAUGAUCCACUGAAGAUGGUGGCAAAACACUUAUUUUCUUCUCUGCAGAAGGGCUCCUUUCCUCGUGUUGACUAGGAAUUCAUUAUUGAAAUAUAAAGAUUUUAGAACAUGCAGCAAUCUAUGCAGCUUCUAACUUAGAGUUUCUGCACCAAACCAAGACGACUGAUGUAACAUGACAAAAUCUGUACUUGUAGAGAUCAGAAAGAAUAAAGAAAGGAUAAGAGGGAACAAACAAACUACUUUUUCUAGAAGAAGAGGCGUUCAGCCGAGUGGCUUCAGUCACGCUGGCUCAGACAUAAGGGAAGGAAACUGAAUGCAAAGGAACUCUGUGGGUGUAGAUGUCAGUGAGAAGAGAAGCUGUCAAAAGUCUGCCUAGCCUGUUGCACUGAAGCUCCUCUGGAAACUGCUUUGCAUCACUUAUUUUGAAUAUGAGGCCAUGUCCGUAAAACAAGAUGGAGCAAAAAUGAAACUAUGGAGACCUCAUCAGUGCAAGAUAGUACUCAUCAGCCGGAGACAAACCAUGUACUUUCUGCUCAGAAGAAUCCCAGGAAAAAAAAGGGAUUACCUGAAAAUACAAAUGCAAGAAAGGACAGCUCAUUAAUUGAAAGAGAGGAGUCAAGAGCCCAGCUGGAAGGAACUUGGAAUGGGGAGGAGGCACAGACUCAGAGGACCAACGUGAAGCAAAGCAAGCUGUUUCUUGAAAUAGGAGAGUUAAAAUCCCAGCUCAAAAGGACAAAGAAAGGAGAAAAGGAAAAACUCUUCAUUCUGGAAAAUGAGAAGGAUGCCUGCCUGAAGGAAAUAGCAGAGCUGAAGGCCUGUGUUAAACGGAGGAUUUUCUACCCGAAGAAUUUGAAGGUUUUUGCAGGCCUUACAGGAGUUUUCUGUCUGAAGACAGAGGCCUCAUGUGAGAAUGGUGUGGAAAGUGCUCUGGGAAGCAGUGUGCUUAAAGGCCCUCAAUGUACUUGGACAUUCCCCCCCUAG